GAUGAACGCUGGCGGCGUGCCUAAUACAUGCAAGUCGAGCGAACAGACGAGGAGCUUGCUCCUCUGACGUUAGCGGCGGACGGGUGAGUAACACGUGGAUAACCUACCUAUAAGACUGGGAUAACUUCGGGAAACUGGAGCUAAUACCGGAUAAUAUAUUGAACCGCAUGGUUCAAUAGUGAAAGACGGUUUUGCGGUCACGUAUAGAUGGAUCCGCGCCGCAUUAGCUAGUUGGGAAGGUAACGGCUUACCAAGGCAACGAUGCGUAGCCGACCUGAGAGGGUGGUCGGCCACACUGGAACUGAGACACGGUCCAGACUCCUACGGGAGGCAGCAGUAGGGAAUCUUCCGCAAUGGGCGAAAUCCUGACGGAGCAGCGCCGCGUGAGUGAUGAAGGUCUUCGGAUCGUAAAACUCUGUUAUUAGGGAAGAACAAAUGUGUAAGUAACUAUGCACGUCUUGACGGUACCUAAUCAGAAAGCCACGGCUAACUACGUG
Molecule: ribosomal RNA, 497 nt
Filed under: uncultured bacterium
Lineage: Bacteria
Description: partial 16S ribosomal RNA
Rfam family: Bacterial small subunit ribosomal RNA
Source: RNAcentral